GAUGAACGCUGGCGGCGUGCUUAACACAUGCAAGUCGAACGAUGAAGCCCAGCUUGCUGGGUGGAUUAGUGGCGAACGGGUGAGUAACACGUGAGUAACCUGCCCUUAACUCUGGGAUAAGCCUGGGAAACUGGGUCUAAUACCGGAUAGGAGCGUCCACCGCAUGGUGGGUGUUGGAAAGAUUUAUCGGUUUUGGAUGGACUCGCGGCCUAUCAGCUUGUUGGUGAGGUAAUGGCUCACCAAGGCGACGACGGGUAGCCGGCCUGAGAGGGUGACCGGCCACACUGGGACUGAGACACGGCCCAGACUCCUACGGGAGGCAGCAGUGGGGAAUAUUGCACAAUGGGCGCAAGCCUGAUGCAGCGACGCCGCGUGAGGGAUGAUGGCCUUCGGGUUGUAAACCUCUUUCAGUAGGGAAGAAGCGAAAGUGACGGUACCUGCAGAAGAAGCACCGGCUAACUACGUG
This 466-nucleotide ribosomal RNA is filed under the name uncultured bacterium. Its description in RNAcentral is "partial 16S ribosomal RNA". It matches the Rfam family "Bacterial small subunit ribosomal RNA", at positions 28 to 507 of the family's 1533-position model. The record is from RNAcentral.